This 420-nucleotide ribosomal RNA is filed under the name Triticum aestivum (bread wheat). RNAcentral's name for it is "partial small subunit ribosomal RNA". Lineage: Eukaryota; Viridiplantae; Streptophyta; Magnoliopsida; Poales; Poaceae. The record is from RNAcentral.
AUGAUACCUCAGCCCGAUGAUAGAGUAACCAGCUUCACUGGGAAACACAUCUGGGAAGUUUUUGCACCUGGGCAAAUGAUGGAGGGUGAUGUAAUGGACUUCCUUAUUGAUGAUUGGAAGAGAGAUCCCGAUAGAAAUGUUGAUUUUGCGUCUGGCAAAAGGGUAUUGCUGAGUCCAUAUUUCAUCACGGUUGUGCUUGACUGUACGUUUUACGAUGCUGUAAAUAAACCGUUUAAUGUCGAGAGUGCAGCGAGAUAUUUCAAGAGCUAUGUCAAAGAAAAGGAAGACUUGCUCACUGCCGACCCUAUCUCCAGGAUGGUCCAAGUAAUGAAGGCUUUUUAUGGUGAUUCUCAGUACAGUGCGAGUGUCGGUGUCAAAACCGGUGGAUCUCGGGUAGGGGGUCCCGAACUAUGCGUCUAG